Molecule: long non-coding RNA, 262 nt
Filed under: Capsicum annuum
Lineage: Eukaryota; Viridiplantae; Streptophyta; Magnoliopsida; Solanales; Solanaceae
Description: long non-coding RNA (CANN_LNC022457)
Source: RNAcentral
CCAACAUUUAUAAAUUAUUCAUUUGACUAUUUCUAUAACAAUACAUAUACUAACAACAAAUCAUAAAGAGCUUGUAUCCUCCUAUAGUUACAAUAUUUUUUUUCUAGACAAUUUUUUUUUAAUUGUUGGCAGUAUCACAUAUAUAUUGUAAGAUCAUCCAAAAUACUAAAUUCACCCAACCAAAAACCAUAAUUAUCCACAAUUGGAACUCCCAAUUUAUGUGAAUAUUUUACUUCUUGAUUUUCUGAAAUUUUCACCCAAG